Long non-coding RNA from Lingula anatina, 157 nucleotides. NCBI's taxonomy places the organism in Eukaryota, Metazoa, Brachiopoda, Lingulata, Lingulida, Lingulidae. The record is from RefSeq and is a predicted model, not a curated record.
AAUUCGUUACAGGGCCUUGAUAGGAUUGAUGAACGUAAUGGCGCAGAAAGUGGCUCUUUCUCUCCCUCAGGUGAUGGCGCUGGUGUCUAUGCCUACAUCUUAGACACUGGUAUCCACACCGGCCAUAGUGACUUUGGAGGCAGAGCCAUCAACGCCG